UGCUGUGGUUCAGUGGUAGAGCCCCUGCCUAGCAAGCACUAGGUUCUGAGUUCAAAUCCCAGUACUGCAA
This 70-nucleotide transfer RNA is filed under the name Dipodomys ordii (Ord's kangaroo rat). It matches the Rfam family "tRNA". From Rfam's summary of the family: Transfer RNA (tRNA) molecules are approximately 80 nucleotides in length. The record is from Rfam by way of RNAcentral. Lineage: Eukaryota; Metazoa; Chordata; Mammalia; Rodentia; Heteromyidae.